GUCGGGAAUAUUGCGCAAUGGAGGAAACUCUGACGCAGUGACGCCGCGUAUAGGAAGAAGGUUUUCGGAUUGUAAACUAUUGUCGUUAGGGAAGAAAAAGACAGUACCUAAGGAGGAAGCUCCGGCUAACUAUGUGCCAGCAGCCGCGGUAAUACAUAGGGAGCAAGCGUUAUCCGGAAUUAUUGGGUGUAAAGGGUGCGUAGACGGGAAGACAAGUUAGUUGUGAAAUCCCUCGGCUUAACUGAGGAACUGCAACUAAAACUAUCAUUCUUGAGUGCAGGAGAGGAAAGUGGAAUUCCUAGUGUAGCGGUGAAAUGCGUAGAUAUUAGGAGGAACACCAGUGGCGAAGGCGACUUUCUGGACUGUAACUGACGUUGAGGCUCGAAAGCGUGGGGAGCAAACAGGA
This 406-nucleotide ribosomal RNA is filed under the name uncultured bacterium. RNAcentral's name for it is "bacterial SSU rRNA". It matches the Rfam family "Bacterial small subunit ribosomal RNA", at positions 354 to 777 of the family's 1533-position model. The record is from RNAcentral.